CAAAUUGUAGCUUAAAAGAAAGUUUUUUAUUUACAUUAAAGAGUUCACUGUGCAAUUCAGUGUGAUUUGA
RNAcentral lists this transfer RNA (70 nucleotides) under Agriotes fuscicollis. RNAcentral describes it as "tRNA-Val". Lineage: Eukaryota; Metazoa; Arthropoda; Insecta; Coleoptera; Elateridae. The record is from RNAcentral.